RNAcentral lists this ribosomal RNA (904 nucleotides) under uncultured archaeon. RNAcentral's name for it is "bacterial SSU rRNA". It matches the Rfam family "Archaeal small subunit ribosomal RNA", at positions 499 to 1405 of the family's 1478-position model. The record is from RNAcentral.
UUUUAUUGAGCCUAAAGCGUUUGUAGCCGGAUCCGUAAAUCUCCAGGCAAAUUCCUUCGCUUAACGAAGGAUCUUCUGGAGAGACUGCGGAUCUAGGGACCGGGUGAGGUUGAAUGUACUUCUGGGGUAGGGGUAAAAUCCUGUAAUCCUGGAAGGACGACCGGUGGCGAAGGCGUUCAACUAGAACGGAUCCGACGGUGAGGAACGAGGGCUAGGGGAGCAAACCGGAUUAGAUACCCGGGUAGUCCUAGCUGUAAACACUGCCCACUUGAUGUUGCAUCUCCGUGUAGGGGGUGCAGUGUCGUAGCGAAGGUGUUAAGUGGGCCGCUUGGGGAGUAUGGUCGCAAGGCUGAAACUUAAAGGAAUUGGCGGGGGAGCACCACAACGGGAGGAGCGUGCGGUUUAAUUGGAUUCAACGCCGGAAAGCUCACCAGGAGCGACCUUUGAAUGAGAGUCAACUUGACGAGCUUACUCGAUAGAAGGAGAGGUGGUGCAUGGCCGUCGUCAGCUCGUACCGUAGGGCGUUCACUUAAGUGUGAUAACGAGCGAGACCCCCAUCUUUAAUUGCCAUCAUGUUCGAGAGGACGUGGGCACUUUAAAGGGACCGCCAGCGCAGAAGCUGGAGGAAGGAGGGGUCGACGGCAGGUCAGUACGCCCCGAAUCUCCUGGGCAACACGCGCGCUACAAAGGACAGGACAAUGGGCUGCGACCUCGAAAGGGGAAGCCAAUCUCGAAACCUGUUCGUAGUUAGGAUUGAGGGCUGUAACUCGCCCUCAUGAAUCUGGAUUCCGUAGUAAUCGCGGGUCAACAUCCCGCGGUGAAUAUGUCCCUGCUCCUUGCACACACCGCCCGUCAAACCAUCCGAGCUGGUGUUGGAUGAGGCUUUGCUCAUAGGGCAGAUUCG